AACGACACCGCGGGCGACGGCACCACCACCGCCACCGUGCUCGCCCAGGCGAUCGUGCGCGAAGGCGCCAAGUCGGUUGCCGCCGGCAUGAACCCGAUGGAUCUGAAGCGCGGCAUCGACCUCGCGGUCGAAGCGGUCGUUGCAGACCUCGUCAAGAACUCCAAGAAGGUCACGUCGAACGACGAGAUCGCCCAGGUCGGCACCAUCUCGGCCAACGGCGACAAGGAAAUCGGCGAUUUCCUCGCAAAAGCCAUGGCGGUCGGCAACGAAGGCGUCAUCACCGUUGAGGAAGCCAAGUCGCUCGACACCGAACUCGA
Molecule: unclassified non-coding RNA, 317 nt
Filed under: Hevea brasiliensis (rubber tree)
Lineage: Eukaryota; Viridiplantae; Streptophyta; Magnoliopsida; Malpighiales; Euphorbiaceae
Source: RNAcentral